UGCCAGCCGCCGCGGUAACACGGGGGGCGCAAGCGUUAUUCGGAAUUAUUGGGCGUAAAGGGCGCGCAGGCGGUCUUGUCCGUCAGGUGUGAAAGCCCGGGGCUCAACCCCGGAAGUGCAUUGGAAACUGGCGAACUUGAGUACGGGAGAGGAAAGUGGAAUUCCGAGUGUAGGGGUGAAAUGCGUAGAUAUUGGGAGGAACACCGGUGGCGAAGGCGGCCACCUGGACCGGUUCUGACGCUGAGGCGCGAAAGUGUGGGGAGCAAACAGGAUUAGAUA
This 279-nucleotide ribosomal RNA is filed under the name uncultured bacterium. Its description in RNAcentral is "partial 16S ribosomal RNA". It matches the Rfam family "Bacterial small subunit ribosomal RNA", at positions 506 to 784 of the family's 1533-position model. The record is from RNAcentral.